CCGCGUGGGCCGGCAACCGACCUAACACAUGACAAGUCGAACGGAGUAUUACUUAGCUUGCUUGUAAUCUUAGUGGCGGACGGGUGAGUAACACGUGAGCAACCUGCCUCUGAGAGAGGGAUAGCUUCUGGAAACGGAUGGUAAUACCUCAUAACAUACAUUGACCGCAUGAUCGAUGUAUCAAAGAUUUAUCACUCAGAGAUGGGCUCGCGUCUGAUUAGCUAGUUGGUGAGGUAACGGCCCACCAAGGCGACGAUCAGUAGCCGGACUGAGAGGUUGAACGGCCACAUUGGGACUGAGACACGGCCCAGACUCCUACGGGAGGCAGCAGUGAGGGAUAUUGCACAAUGGAGGAAACUCUUGAUGCAGCGAUGCCGCGUGGAGGAAGAAGGUUUUCGGAUUGUAAACUCCUGUUUCGAGGGACGAUAAUGACGGUACCUCGGGAGGAAGCUCCGGCUAACUACGUGCCAGCAGCGGC
This 478-nucleotide ribosomal RNA is filed under the name uncultured bacterium. Its description in RNAcentral is "bacterial SSU rRNA". It matches the Rfam family "Bacterial small subunit ribosomal RNA", at positions 34 to 518 of the family's 1533-position model. The record is from RNAcentral.